Molecule: transfer RNA, 83 nt
Filed under: Fonticella tunisiensis
Lineage: Bacteria; Bacillati; Bacillota; Clostridia; Eubacteriales; Clostridiaceae
Rfam family: tRNA
About the family: Transfer RNA (tRNA) molecules are approximately 80 nucleotides in length. Their secondary structure includes four short double-helical elements and three loops (D, anti-codon, and T loops). Further hydrogen bonds mediate the characteristic L-shaped molecular structure. tRNAs have two regions of fundamental functional importance: the anti-codon, which is responsible for specific mRNA codon recognition, and the 3' end, to which the tRNAs corresponding amino acid is attached (by aminoacyl-tRNA synthetases). tRNAs cope with the degeneracy of the genetic code in two manners: having more than one tRNA (with a specific anti-codon) for a particular amino acid; and 'wobble' base-pairing, i.e. permitting non-standard base-pairing at the 3rd anti-codon position.
Source: Rfam by way of RNAcentral
GCGGGUGUGGUGGAAUUGGCAGACGCGCUGGAUUCAGGUUCCAGUGUCCAAAAGACGUGCAGGUUCAAGUCCUGUCACCCGCA